Manis javanica (Malayan pangolin) is the source of this 1199-nucleotide non-coding RNA. NCBI's taxonomy places the organism in Eukaryota, Metazoa, Chordata, Mammalia, Pholidota, Manidae. The record is from RefSeq and is a predicted model, not a curated record.
GCGGUGAAGACCCCGUGUCCAGGGGCAGAGUGUCCGCUGAGGCUGAGGGUGUGCUCCUCUGAAGUCAAAGGCAGUCGUGGCUACAGCCAGGCUUUACACGGCAUGUGGUUCCUUACCUGCAAAACAGGGAUAACCAUAAUACCCAAUCCAUGGUGAUGCUGUAAAGCACUUGCCACGUGAGGAUACAGGAGAAGUUAACUUAUCUACAAGCCAGAAGACAGGCCCUCAACAGACACCGGAUCUGUCAGCAACUUGAUCUUGGACUUCCCAGUUUCCAGAAAUGUGAGAAAUAAAUGUCUGUUGUUUCACCCACCAAGCUAUUGUAUUUUUGUUACAGCAGUCUGAACUAAUUAAGACAAACUCUUUAGCAUAACACUUUAAGUCAGUGUAUCACAUAUCAUCAAGAUAAAGAAGUCUGGCUCAAAGCAGAGAGCCUUUCAAACAGAUGGGACCCCUCUGUGAUUUAACACAGGUCUAGCUCUUGGUUAUGAAGCCCAGGGUGUCUGGCUCUUCGUGACGCUCCCAUCCUGUCAUAUUCCCAUGCAGAACUCCACAGGGAGGCCAUAAGCACCCAGCUUUCUUCCUGGAAAACAGAUGCACUUGGCUUGCAGGAAGGAAACCAGUUUAGAUAAAACAUGGUGCCCAUUACUUUCCUUGUGAAAAUUGUUCUUAGGUGAGGUAUUACAAGUCCAGGGUAGUGAUAUCUCUCCUUGUUUUUGCUCAUUAAUUUGUAUGAGCUUGAAACAAAGGGACCUGGUACUGCAGGGUUUGAUCUUGCUGCAGUAGUUUUCUGAAGCAGCCAGUGCUUUAGACUAGGAGCCAGGAGGCUGCAGUCCCAGCCCUGGCUCUGCCAUACACAGCGGUGUGCGCCUGGUUAGCCCCUUAGCUCCAUAGUCUCAGGCUCCUUAUUCCUCAUAUCAUCUUGCUGGUGAUAAACACAUUUUAUGCGAAAACGUUUCAGGAAGUUUGGGGCCCUAAAAUUUGUAGGGCAUCUGAGACACCUACUGUGACCCUUUAAAAGGUCCCCUGGGCUAUUUAUAUCCAGGAGCCAUAAUCCUGAGGUGACCUCACCAUCAGGGUGAGCACCUGCUCACUUUCUCCUGCGACGGAAUUAGCAUUAAGAAGACCUAUUGUAUUAACAUAGUGUUUCCAAGUUUUGAAAACACUUUCACACUCAUCAUCUCAUUUAAUCCUCACAA